GAUGAACGCUGGCGGCAUGCCUAAUACAUGCAAGUCGAGCGGACGGACGAGACGCUUGCUUCUCUGAUGUUAGCCGCGGACGGGUGAGUAACACGUGGACAACCUACCUAUAAGACUGGGCUAACUUCGGGAAACCGGAGCUCAUACCGGAUAAUAUUUUGAACCGCAUGGUUUAAAAGUGCAAGACGGUCUUGCUGUCACUUAUAGAUGGCUUCGCGCUGCAUUAGCUAGUUGGUAAGGUAACGGCUUACCAAGGCAACGAUGCAUAGCUGACCUGAGAGGGUGAGCGGCCACACUGGAACUGAGACACGGCCCAGACUCCUACGGGAGGCAGCAGUAGGGAAUCUUCCGCAAUGGGCGAAAGCCUGACGGAGCAACGCCGCGUGAGGGAUGAAGGUCUUCGGAUCGUAAAACUCUGUUAUUAGGGAAGAACAUAUGUGUAAGUAACUGUGCACAUCAUGACGGUACCUAAUCAAAAAGCCACGGCUAACUACGUG
This 497-nucleotide ribosomal RNA is filed under the name uncultured bacterium. RNAcentral's name for it is "partial 16S ribosomal RNA". It matches the Rfam family "Bacterial small subunit ribosomal RNA", at positions 28 to 507 of the family's 1533-position model. The record is from RNAcentral.